RNAcentral lists this long non-coding RNA (2658 nucleotides) under Vigna radiata. RNAcentral's name for it is "long non-coding RNA (VRAD_LNC001228)". Lineage: Eukaryota; Viridiplantae; Streptophyta; Magnoliopsida; Fabales; Fabaceae. The record is from RNAcentral.
ACUUAUCUUUUAUCAUGUAGCGUUGAGUAUAUGUUGAUAUUUUGCAAUAUGUAUGAGCUUAAGUCUAUCUAUUUCAUUGUGAUUAUCAACUACUGGUGAGCAAAUUUGGUUUUCUGAAUAAUAAUUUUGCAAUAUUAUGCGCUACAUAUUGGUAGUCAUUUUUUGAUAACUAUGUUAUCCUAACUUUUCCUUUUCAUGGAAGUUAAAGAAAAGCCGUAUGUCGUCAGAAUUAGUAAUUCUAAACUGAAUAACUGAAUGUGCAGGGAUUUAGGAAAGGAAAAAAUAUUUUUAAGAAUUCUUUUUUGAUAACUUCUUGAUAAUGCAUGUGAUUGUUUGUGAUUAAUUUGUUUUAAAUAUUUUUUUUUAAAUAAAUUCUUGAAGUAUGUUGACUUUUCAACGUCUUAUUCAGUCACUGGUAACUUCUUAAGGUCAGUUGUUUCUAACAAGGGUUUGCAAGAGCCUGUUACAUUCUGUCCAUCUAGAAGAUUGAUUAAAAGUACUAAAACCUUUAUUUUUCAGAAACCUUGCGAGCUGCAAUGGGGGGAAUUUUCUUGAGGUCUUAGUUUUAAGGGAUUGCAUGCAUCUCAAAGAGGUAAUGUCUGUAAUACAUUUCUACCUUUUUCUCUUAUUACUCAGUUGCCUCAGAAACAUUAAUACUUCAUGUGCAGAUGGAAAUCACGAGGCUAUUUCUAAUUUCUAUAAUUUCUUUCCCCCACUCUAUGUAGUUAUGUCUCAAGCUGAUAAUACUGAUCAAGAUGAAAAACAAACGAACAUCACUUGAACUUCAGAUUAAGUGAUUGGUGGGUAGGAGAUGAGUGAUAGGAACGGAAACAUUAGAGGUUAGUAGUUAAUGAGAAAAACUAAAAACCAGCCAAUAAAUUAUAGACACUAGAGAGCAAUAGAACCACUUCUGAGAAAAUAUCACCCAUCGGAAGAAAUAAUUUGAUCACAUCUGUACUGAUAUUAAAGGGAAUGUUAGCAACCACCUGCAAACAAUAUAUCAUACCAAGCCAAUUCAGGAAACUUUAGCAGCAGAACGGAACACCAUAACUUCAUGGUUAAUAUAUAGCUGCCUAAUUUAGGACCCUUAAGUUAAGCUUCCAAAUGAAUUCAUUUAGGCUUAUUGAACAACCAUGUACAAACUGGAAUGUUAACCUCCUUGAAGUCUUGCAGGCUUGCUGCAUAAACUGGAAUGUCCUUUUGUCCAUAAACUGCAUAAUCAUGUAAAUCUUAUUACUUGAAUUUAUUAUUUUAAAAUAGAAUUUAUUUUAACUAUUAAAAAUAUUUUAAUUAAUAAAAAUACAAUAAAAGAUAAUAUGUUAAAAAUAAAGCUAUAGAUGUUUGGAAAAUAAUACAAGUCAUUUGUCUUUUAUUUACAAAUUUCACUUUUAAACAUUGGGAAAAAAGAUAAACUGAAAUUGUUUCAAACUAGGAUUUCAGUAAAUUAGUUUUCUUAACGGAAGUACAGUGGUGCUUUAGAACAAUUGUAUUUACAUAGAUGCAUGUUAGUGCUUUAGAAUUCAAUACUUUUAAAGUUCAGAACCCGAAAGAACAUUGUAGUUUGGUUGUAAAAAUAUUAGUCACUGCUCAAAUCGUAUCCANGUUGAAUUAUUGAAUUCUGAACCAUGGNGGAAAAAUCUUUAUUCUUUCAAUUUUCAAAGUAACAGAAAUUGAUUAUGCAACCUAGUAGAGACUUUUACUGGGGAAUCCCAACUCCAAUUGUGUGUCUUUUGGCGAUCAAGUUUUUUGUGCUGGCCCCAUAUAUUAUUGAAAUUUAAGAUAUGCAUGAAAGUGGAAUGAUGAAAAGAAUGACUGACCCGUUGGACCAGAAGCCACUCAGUUUGCAUCCUUCUUUUUCUGCUUCAAUCGACCACUUUAAUUUUUGUUUUGGUGUAUUCAAUUAAAUUUCAUUUUCAAUUUUUUGUUAAAACAGGUUUAUGGCUGAUCCAUCCAGGAAAUUUUAUCAUUUGACCAGUCAGAUUGGCAAAGCCCAUUUUAGUAAGUAUUUCUAUUCACAUUUGCCUUAAUUACUUAUGCAUUUGUUGUAUUUGCAUGCAUAUAAUAUUGGACUUAUAUUUUGUGAUCAAAUGUAGAACGUUUCUAAGAAGACAAACAUUGUUACACCUCCAACCACAAUUGUCUCUUCUCCAACAACUUGGUGCAGUGGUAGUCACAAUGGAGAAUAAAACUAUUGAGGUAGAUAUGCCUCUUGAACUCACAUGCAAGACUGCUACCACCACUUUAUUUGUAUAAUUUGAUAUUAUUUUGUAUCCUAGGUUUGAAUGAGUCUUGAUUAUUUGUAUUUAAUUUACAGUGUUGACAUCAAUUAGGCAGCUAUGAAUGUGGGUAUUAUGUAAUGAAACACAUGCAUACCAUUAUUUGUACAAACAUUACUACGUCAUGGAAUAAGGUAUUAAAAUACUAUAACUAAAUACUUAUCCAAUUAUUCAAUACAAUAUUGUUUUGACUCUAUUAUUUUAUUUGUAGAUCUUUAAAUGAUUCCUAUUCCAUGGAAGAUGCAAACAUUGAAGACAUUAGUGCUUCUUUUAUUUUAAGCACAUUAAUGUAAUAUUUGGAUUUAAUAUAUAGUUUCAUGUACAAACGAUGUAUUAAAUAUUAUUAGACUAUUUAAAGUUUGAAAUGAAUUCUAUUUUGUUA